UGGUUUGUGCAGUGUUCCACAUGAUUCUUGGCUGAAUGUCCUUUUUGAGAUCCUGCAGCUGUUGACCCUGAGUGGGAGAAUGCCUUAUCCAGGUGUAGUCUUGUGCACACCUUUCCAGACCCAUAGCAGUGGUUUGGUUGCAGAGCUGUGAUUAUAUGGACAUUCUCCACACUUGGUAUACAGCAGUUCAGACAUGCAGCCCCAUUGGAAUGUGCUGAUAGAG
Molecule: long non-coding RNA, 223 nt
Organism: Pseudophryne corroboree (corroboree frog)
Lineage: Eukaryota; Metazoa; Chordata; Amphibia; Anura; Myobatrachidae
Exons: 3
Source: RefSeq, a predicted model, not a curated record